Molecule: ribosomal RNA, 492 nt
Filed under: uncultured bacterium
Lineage: Bacteria
Description: partial 16S ribosomal RNA
Rfam family: Bacterial small subunit ribosomal RNA
Source: RNAcentral
AGUGAACGCUGGCGGUAGGCCUAACACAUGCAAGUCGAACGGCAGCACAGUAAGAGCUUGCUCUUACGGGUGGCGAGUGGCGGACGGGUGAGGAAUACAUCGGAAUCUACUUUUUCGUGGGGGAUAACGUAGGGAAACUUACGCUAAUACCGCAUACGACCUACGGGUGAAAGCAGGGGAUCUUCGGACCUUGCGCGAUUGAAUGAGCCGAUGUCGGAUUAGCUAGUUGGCGGGGUAAAGGCCCACCAAGGCGACGAUCCGUAGCUGGUCUGAGAGGAUGAUCAGCCACACUGGAACUGAGACACGGACCAGACUCCUACGGGAGGCAGCAGUGGGGAAUAUUGGACAAUGGGCGCAAGCCUAAUCCAGCCAUACCGCGUGGGUGAAGAAGGCCUUCGGGUUGUAAAGCCCUUUUGUUGGGAAAGAAAAGCAGCAGGUUAAUACCCCGCUGUCCUGACGGUACCCAAAGAAUAAGCACCGGCUAACUUCGUG